This 507-nucleotide ribosomal RNA is filed under the name uncultured bacterium. RNAcentral describes it as "bacterial SSU rRNA". It matches the Rfam family "Bacterial small subunit ribosomal RNA", at positions 791 to 1297 of the family's 1533-position model. The record is from RNAcentral.
UAGUCCACGCCGUAAACGAUGGGUACUAGGUGUUGGAGGUUUUGACCCCUUCAGUGCCGCAGCUAACGCAUUAAGUACCCCGCCUGGGGAGUACGGUCGCAAGACUGAAACUCAAAGGAAUUGACGGGGGCCCGCACAAGCGGUGGAGCAUGUGGUUUAAUUCGAUGCAACGCGAAGAACCUUACCUGGGCUUGAACUGCAGUGGACAGUCCGUGAAAGCGGAUCUUCCUUCGGGACUGCUGUAGAGGUGCUGCAUGGCUGUCGUCAGCUCGUGUCGUGAGAUGUUGGGUUAAGUCCCGCAACGAGCGCAACCCUUAUCCUUAGUUGCCAUCAAGUAAUGUUGGGCACUCUAGGGAGACUGCCGAGGAUAACUCGGAGGAAGGUGGGGAUGACGUCAAGUCCUCAUGGCCCUUACGUCCAGGGCUACACACGUGCUACAAUGGCCGGUACAAAAGGUUGACAAUACCGCAAGGUGGAGCUAAUCCCCAAAACCGGCCUCAGUUCGGA